UACGGAGGGUGCAAGCGUUAUCCGGAUUUAUUGGGUUUAAAGGGUACGUAGGCGGUGGAGUAAGUCAGUGGUGAAAGCCAACAGCUCAACUGUUGAACUGCCAUUGAUACUGCUUCACUUGAGUGCAGUUGAGGUGGGUGGAAUUCCAUGUGUAACGGUGAAAUGCUUAGAUAUAUGGAGGAACACCGAUAACGAAGGUAACUCAACUAAACUGUAACUGACGCUGAGGUACGAAAGCGUGGGGAGCAAACGGG
This 254-nucleotide ribosomal RNA is filed under the name uncultured bacterium. RNAcentral's name for it is "partial 16S ribosomal RNA". It matches the Rfam family "Bacterial small subunit ribosomal RNA", at positions 524 to 776 of the family's 1533-position model. The record is from RNAcentral.